Molecule: long non-coding RNA, 735 nt
Organism: Dioscorea cayenensis subsp. rotundata (Guinea yam)
Lineage: Eukaryota; Viridiplantae; Streptophyta; Magnoliopsida; Dioscoreales; Dioscoreaceae
Exons: 2
Source: RefSeq, a predicted model, not a curated record
GCAAUCAUCUCAUUGGGAAAAUACCAGAAAGCAUCGGUGACAUGAAGCAAAUUGAAUCACUUGAUCUAUCAACAAAUAAUUUAUUUGGUACAAUUCCUUCGAGCAUGUCUACUUUGAACUUUUUGGGUCAUUUGAAUCUGUCGCACAACAGUUUGUCAGGAAAAAUUCCAUCAAGCACUCAACUUCAGUCUUUCGAUCCAUCAGCCUAUAAUUCGAAUCAUGGUCUCUGUGGAUCACCUCUUCAGAAUUGUGCUAAUGGCACACAUUAUUCCCAAGUCACAAAUGAGGAAGAAGGAAAAGGAGAUUGGACAGAGAUGUUAUGGCUUUACAUAGGUCUUACAAUGGGAUUCAUAACUGGCUUCUGGAUGAUCAUCGGUACCAUUAUCAUCAAGCAAACCAUAAGAAUUGCUUAUUUCCGAUCCAUUGACAAAGUGCAUGAUUGGAUAUAUGUGAAGAUGGUUGUGUACUCUCAGAGGCUGAAGUCAACUUUCUCAAGAAGGAACUAAGGUCCAAGUAACAUGGCAGGUGGCCUAAGUAGUGUAUAUCAAUAAAGUGAUGUCAGUAUAUUAUGUUGCUCUUGUUAUAAGUCCUUGUUCAUUCUGUAUUUGAACCAUGAGUUUGUUAUUUGAAUUGUUACUAAGUUUGAAAUCAUAAGUGUAGAACAUCAUUAUGUGUUGUUAUUUGAAGAUAUAACAUUUUGCUAUGUUUUAUGAGGAUAUGAAAGUUAUUUAUUGA